Molecule: ribosomal RNA, 253 nt
Filed under: uncultured bacterium
Lineage: Bacteria
Description: partial 16S ribosomal RNA
Rfam family: Bacterial small subunit ribosomal RNA
Source: RNAcentral
AACGUAGGUGGCAAGCGUUAUCCGGAUUUACUGGGCGUAAAGGGUGUGCAGGCGGGAGAACAAGUGGUGUAUGAAAUCGCCCGGCUUAACCGGGCGGGGUUAUGCCAGACUGUUUUUCUAGAGGACGAGAGAGGGGCAUGGAAUUCCGGGUGUAGUGGUGAAAUGCGUAGAGAUCCGGAGGAACCCCAGAGGCGAAGGCGGUGCCCUGGCUCGUACCUGACGCUCAGACACGAAAGCAUGGGGAGCGAACGGG